This 538-nucleotide ribosomal RNA is filed under the name uncultured bacterium. RNAcentral's name for it is "bacterial SSU rRNA". It matches the Rfam family "Bacterial small subunit ribosomal RNA", at positions 777 to 1314 of the family's 1533-position model. The record is from RNAcentral.
AAUAGAUACCCAGGUAGUCCACGCCGUAAACGAUGAGUGCUAAGUGUUAGGGGGUUUCCGCCCCUUAGUGCUGCAGCUAACGCAUUAAGCACUCCGCCUGGGGAGUACGGUCGCAAGACUGAAACUCAAAGGAAUUGACGGGGGCCCGCACAAGCGGUGGAGUAUGUGGUUUAAUUCGAAGCAACGCGAAGAACCUUACCAGGUCUUGACAUCCUCUGACAAUCCUAGAGAUAGGACGUCCCCGUUCGGGGGCAGGGUGACGGGUGGUGCAUGGUUGUCGUCAGCUCGUGUCGUGAGAUGUUGGGUUAAGUCCCGCAACGAGCGCAACCCUUGAUCUUAGUUGCCAGCAUUCAGUUGGGCACUCUAAGGUGACUGCCGGUGACAAACCGGAGGAAGGUGGGGAUGACGUCAAAUCAUCAUGCCCCUUAUGACCUGGGCUACACACGUGCUACAAUGGACAGAACAAAGGGCAGCGAAACCGCGAGGUUAAGCCAAUCCCACAAAUCUGUUCUCAGUUCGGAUCGCAGUCUGCAACUCG